GACGAACGCUGGCGGCGUGCCUAAUACAUGCAAGUAGGACGCAGUUGCGAACGGGUGAGUAACGCGUAGGUACCUGCCUAUUAGAGGGGGAUAACUAUUGGAAACGAUAGCUAAUACCGCAUACUAGUAGAUGGACCUGCGUUGUAUUAGCUAGUAGGUAGGGUAAUGGCCUACCUAGGCAACGAUACAUAGCCGACCUGAGGAGGAGAUCGGGCACACUGGGAAUGAGAAACGGCCCAGACUCCUACGGGAGGCAGCAGUAGGGAAACUUUGGAAAUGGGGGGAACCCUGAACGAGCAACGCCGCGUGAGUGAAGAAGGUUUUCGGAUCGUAAAGCUCUGUUGUGAAGGAAGCGGUACUUAACCAGAAAGGGACGGCUAACUACGUGCCAGCAGCCGCGGUAAUAC
Molecule: ribosomal RNA, 407 nt
Filed under: uncultured bacterium
Lineage: Bacteria
Description: partial 16S ribosomal RNA
Rfam family: Bacterial small subunit ribosomal RNA
Source: RNAcentral